RNAcentral lists this ribosomal RNA (104 nucleotides) under Gopherus agassizii (Agassiz's desert tortoise). The record is from RNAcentral. Lineage: Eukaryota; Metazoa; Chordata; Testudines; Testudinidae.
UCCAGCCAUCCCACCUGCAGCCAUCAUCUCGUCAGAUCUCAUGAGCUAAGCGGGGCUGAGAGAGGUUAGCAUGUGGAUGGUAGGAGAGAGAGAGAUGGCUGGAG